AGGAGCUUGCUCCUUUGACGUUAGCGGCGGACGGGUGAGUAACACGUGGGUAACCUACCUAUAAGACUGGAAUAACUCCGGGAAACCGGGGCUAAUGCCGGAUAACAUGUUGAACCGCAUGGUUCUACAGUGAAAGACGGUCUUGCUGUCACUUAUAGAUGGACCCGCGCCGUAUUAGCUAGUUGGUGGGGUAACGGCCUACCAAGGCGACGAUACGUAGCCGACCUGAGAGGGUGAUCGGCCACACUGGAACUGAGACACGGUCCAGACUCCUACGGGAGGCAGCAGUAGGGAAUCUUCCGCAAUGGGCGAAAGCCUGACGGAGCAACGCCGCGUGAGUGAUGAAGGUCUUCGGAUCGUAAAGCUCUGUUGUUAGGGAAGAACAAAUGUGUAAGUAACUGUGCACAUCUUGACGGUACCUAACCAGAAAGCCACGGCUAACUACGUGCCAGCAGCCGCGGUAAUACGUAGGUGGCAAGCGUUAUCCGGAAUUAUUGGGCGUAAAGCGCGCGUAGGCGGUUUUUUAAGUCUGAUGUGAAAGCCCACGGCUCAACCGUGGAGGGUCAUUGGAAACUGGAAAACUUGAGUGCAGAAGAGGAAAGUGGAAUUCCAUGUGUAGCGGUGAAAUGCGCAGAGAUAUGGAGGAACACCAGUGGCGAAGGCGGCUUUCUGGUCUGCAACUGACGCUGAUGUGCGAAAGCGUGGGGAUCAAACAGGAUUAGAUACCCUGGUAGUCCACGCCGUAAACGAUGAGUGCUAAGUGUUAGGGGGUUUCCGCCCCUUAGUGCUGCAGCUAACGCAUUAAGCACUCCGCCUGGGGAGUACGGUCGCAAGACUGAAACUCAAAGGAAUUGACGGGGACCCGCACAAGCGGUGGAGCAUGUGGUUUAAUUCGAAGCAACGCGAAGAACCUUACCAAAUCUUGACAUCCUUUGACAACUCUAGAGAUAGAGCUUUCCUCUUCGGAGGACAAAGUGACAGGUGGUGCAUGGUUGUCGUCAGCUCGUGUCGUGAGAUGUUGGGUUAAGUCCCGCAACGAGCGCAACCCUUGAACUUAGUUGCCAUCAUUUAGUUGGGCACUCUAAGUUGACUGCCGGUGACAAACCGGAGGAAGGUGGGGAUGACGUCAAAUCAUCAUGCCCCUUAUGAUUUGGGCUACACACGUGCUACAAUGGACAAUACAAAGGG
This 1188-nucleotide ribosomal RNA is filed under the name Staphylococcus delphini. RNAcentral's name for it is "bacterial SSU rRNA". It matches the Rfam family "Bacterial small subunit ribosomal RNA", at positions 74 to 1246 of the family's 1533-position model. Lineage: Bacteria; Bacillati; Bacillota; Bacilli; Caryophanales; Staphylococcaceae. The record is from RNAcentral.